UACAGGGGGGGCAAGCGUUGUUCGGAAUUACUGGGCGUAAAGGGCUCGUAGGUGGCCGACUAAGUCAGACGUGAAAUCCCUCAGCUUAACUGGGGAACUGCGUCUGAUACUGGAUGGCUUGAGUUUGGGAGAGGGAUGCGGAAUUCCAGGUGUAGCGGUGAAAUGCGUAGAUAUCUGGAGGAACACCGGUGGCGAAGGCGGGUCUCUGGGCCGAUACUGACGCUGAGGAGCGAAAGCGUGGGGAGCAAACAGG
RNAcentral lists this ribosomal RNA (253 nucleotides) under uncultured bacterium. Its description in RNAcentral is "partial 16S ribosomal RNA". It matches the Rfam family "Bacterial small subunit ribosomal RNA", at positions 524 to 776 of the family's 1533-position model. The record is from RNAcentral.